Molecule: ribosomal RNA, 301 nt
Filed under: uncultured bacterium
Lineage: Bacteria
Description: partial 16S ribosomal RNA
Rfam family: Bacterial small subunit ribosomal RNA
Source: RNAcentral
CAGUAGCCACGGGAAUACGGAGGGUGCAAGCGUUAUCCGGAUUUAUUGGGUUUAAAGGGUCCGUAGGCGGACUUAUAAGUCAGUGGUGAAAGCCUGUCGCUUAACGAUAGAACUGCCAUUGAUACUGUAAGUCUUGAGUAUAUUUGAGGUAGCUGGAAUAAGUAGUGUAGCGGUGAAAUGCAUAGAUAUUACUUAGAACACCAAUUGCGAAGGCAGGUUACCAAGAUAUAACUGACGCUGAGGGACGAAAGCGUGGGUAGCGAACAGGAUUAGAUACUCCAGUAGUCCCUGUCUCUUAUAC